Molecule: long non-coding RNA, 331 nt
Filed under: Phoenix dactylifera (date palm)
Lineage: Eukaryota; Viridiplantae; Streptophyta; Magnoliopsida; Arecales; Arecaceae
Description: long non-coding RNA (PDAC_LNC018944)
Source: RNAcentral
AAAAAGAUGAUGUUUUGGUGACUAAUACAUUGUUUUUCAAUAGAGGCGCUUCCUUGGACUUUUCUUUAUUGGAAGUAUAAGAAUAUGAAAAUCUCAGUGACAUGCAAAUUCACAUGGCUUGACUUGCAUGGCAUAAGAAAAGUUUAAGGGCAUUCCUGCCAUUUAACAAGCAUUUGGCUCUCUGUAUUUCACAGAAAUAAAGUCAGCAUGCACUAAUCAUUUCACCACUACAACACUCUUCAUACACACUAAAACUUUAAGAUCUUUUUGACUUUUAUUGCAACUAUUGGAUCAUCGAUCGAAUUAUUGUCAAGCAGAAUUGUUAAUCGAA